UUAUUCUGCUGUGGUUCAACAACCUGAUUAUUUUUAGAUAGAAAUUUAAGGUAAAAUGGCACAUGGAUAUAUUUAGAGAGGACUGCAGCUGGAGUCCAGCUAUCACAGAAAGCAUUCUGGCAUUUGCUUGGGGAAGAUAUAGCUUUCAAGGGGCAGGGGUUCAGUAAUAGCAGGUCACUAACAACUGUUUCAGGGAGUCACUGAUUCCUGGAAGCAAUGACUGGUGUCUUGACACCCUGGAAGUUUUCCCAAAUGACUUGGCUAGAGUAGAUAAAGCUCAUUUUAUGCCGUUGAUCGUAUGUAUUUUCUUGCUGAUCAUGGAAGAUGGGAGCAAGAAAGGACACUAUGUUUGAUUUGAUUUUGCAGGGAAUAGAGCGACUCAUUAGUCAUUCAGUCAAACAUCCAACAAACAUUUAUUGAGCAUUUACAAUGUACCAUGUUAUUAGAUGCAAGAGAUACAAUGGUGAGGAAAAACAAAUAUUCCCAUGUCUUCAUGAAGCUCAAGACUUAACAGGUAGGAUUAACAUUAACCAGAUAAUCACAUAAAUAAAUGUAAAGUUGCCACUAUGAUGAAUGCUGCCAAUGAAUAGUCUAGUGCUAUCAGGGCAUGCAAGAGGGGAAUCUGGCAUAGUCGAGAUACAGCAAGGCUUCCCUGGAGAAGACACCACUGAAAUCAAGUCUGAAAAGUGAGUAAAAAUUAAUAAAUGAAAGGAAAUUUGAGACUGUCCUAUGUACUCAGAGCAAAAUGUGCCAAAGCCCUGCUGCUGAAGGAGCAUGCAUGUUUGGGGGACUGGUAGGUCAGUGCAGCUGAAGCAGAGAGAGAGAAGACAGGCUAUUAUAAGAUAAGCCUGAAGAGGUAGGAUGAGGUCAACCUUAGAGGACCCUGUACACCACAUUAAGGCCUCAUAUUUUCAGCCAUGUAGGCAAAAUUGGGGCAAACAUACUUUUAAAAGGGAUAAUGGAUCCUUAUAAAAGAAAUUAAGGUCAAUAUAUAUUCAUUGCUACUAUUUUGUGCAAGAAACUAUGCUAGGUCUGAAGAAGCUGCCAAAGGAGUACAACAUCUAUGUUCAUAAUGCAUAAGCAGUCCAAUGAAUAAACAGUGAAAUAUAUUCCAUGUUGUCAGAGAAUAUCUUUAAAUGAUAUGAAGAUUUACUGGAAGAAGACAUGUAACAUGACAAGAGGGAAUAGAAUCUGGGGAACACUUAAUAGAAAAAGGCUAAUGAACAGUCAAUAGAAUUUCUACUAGCAGAAAUGGAGAGUGUGGAGUUAGUGCUAUUGACAGAGUUAUCAAUGUGAGCAAAACCAAACACCAAAAGUGGACCAUGUCCAUUGUCUUUGGGGAGAACAGUAGAAACUUCAGGGAGGUUGUGAUACAGGCACCACCUGGAGAUGGUACAACAGAACAAUGUCUUACUUUUACAUUGUACCCUACAUUUAUAAUCUCAAUAGAUCUCCAAAAGAACACUAUGAAAGAAAUAGGGAAGCUUUAGCAGUUAUCUUCAUUUUACUGAAAUGUAGAGUGUAUAAAUAAUUUUUCCAAGAACACACAACUGGCAAAUGAUUGAUCCACAAUUAAAAUACAGAUUGCAAGUUUCCACUGCUUCACUGAGUCACAAAUUUCAAUCAUUCAGAAUCCAUCUUUAUGGUUUCACUACAUCUGGAUAUCACUUUACUAUCAUACACUUAACGUUUAUCUUUUAAUUGACUAAUUCUUUUUCCUUAAAAUUUUUUAAAAGGAAACUAUCACCCCCUAAGAGGAAGCCAAUAUCAUUUGUCACAAGUUUAAAGCUACACAGCUCACCUAUUGUGGCCAAUGCCAAUUCUGGGUGUAAAAGAAAAUCCUUGAGGAAGCAGCAGGCAUGGAUUAUUGCAAAAAUCAAGAUGCAGACAAAAUGGCAAAUCUGAGAAGAGAUGGACAGGCAAAAUGGAGCACAACGGAGUCACUACUGCUACGUCAGUGUGGAGUCGCACCUUGAGCCAUAGUGUUACUUAACCAUGUUCCUUGAUGGCACACAGAAUGUUAUACUGUAAUAUAGAUGUAAAUAUUAAUAUAAUAUAGAAGCAUAUAGUAUAUAUAUCAUACUGUAAUAUAGAAAUAAAUAUUAUACUUCUGGAAUUCUGGAAAUAGUUCUGUCUGUGAUGUCAUCGGAAAAAAAAACUUGAGGGCUGAGCUAUUUGUCCUCAGUGCCUAGGUUCUGUGGAACCCAGCACAGUGACUUUCAUCCCUGUGAAACCUCAACAAAACACUAGCGAAGGGUGGUCAUUCCCAGUUAUAUAAAGAUCUUUGAUGAUGAUAGGUACACCGGGGUUUCCAACUCAAAUAGUGCACAAGUGAGGAAAUAAUAAUAAAUAUAAGUAAAGUGGGCCAGGUAGAACUACAACAAGCUGGAGUACUCACAGCCCUUAUAAGGGCAGAGUCGCUAUCUGUACCAGCUGAUUGUUGCUAUGUGGAAAUGCAAGCCUAAAGCGCCAAAUACUCUGUUUUUUCCAAAAGAAGUGGGAAAUAGCCUGUAAGUGUCAAAACUAAUUCAACUUUUAAAAGAUCUCCAGGCAGCUCAAACAAAACCUAUCUACAGAUCCCCAGUUUGCAACCUCCUACCAUAAAAGGUCCAUGAGCUUGGUUUAAUGCAGGGUGAAGUUACUUAUCACCUUGGCAUCUCUAUUUGUCUAUCCAAAUAAUAGAGAUAACUAUAAUUCCUUUCUCAUAGCAUUGUUUGAGAAAUAAAAUGUGUUACUACAUGGUAAGCAUUUGCACUGUCUCAUUUUAUGCAUUUUUGUUAUUAAAAAUUAUAUUUUAUGUAUUUGCCUAGAUCCAUCUGAAUGCAAUAUGAUUGAAUAUGUAGUCUAUAAGUCAUAAUUCCCAUGUUUGAUUGCAUAAUCUCAAUAAAGAACCUCACCAAAUCCUUCAAGCUAUAUUAUACAUGAUACAUCCUAUCACAUUCGCAACUUGUGACUAUAGAAACUGAGGUAGAGAGAAGUCAAUUUGUUGUCCAGGUUUGCAAAGAGUCUCUGGCAAUAUAGGAAGUGUCUCCUUGUCUCAGUCACAAGUAUCCUGUAAACUGGAAUGGCCUCUACCAUUGACUUUCAUGAUCACUAAGUUUUCCUUGUGGUUCUCCACGCUUUGACCAUAUCAAAAAAAAACAAGGUUUAUAAAGACAUGGAUAAACUUUAGCCUCUAAAAAGGCUUUAGUUGUGGGUAGACUAUCUAUUUGUAUUCGGGUUUCUGUCUUUCAAGCUAAUUUGUAGAGCUUCACUAAGGAAUCCCACUAAGCAUCACUUAAGAACACAUUUUCAAACUGAAUCUGACAAAAGUAAACAUCCUUGAAAAAUAGGAGCACAGGUAUUCCAAUAUAAUAGCCCCUUGUUUCUCAAAGUGUGGUCCUGGGGCAGCAACAGCAGCAUUAGCUGGGUGCUUAUUAGACAUGCAGAAUCUUAGGCCUCACCCCAGACCUACCGAAUUAGAAUCUUCACUCCCAGGUGAUUUAUGUGUGCAUUAAAUUUGAAUAACACUACUAGCCAACUAAUCUCUAUAAUCUCCUGCAGCUUGUGUGUGACCAAGGAAAGGAAUAGCAAAAAAGGUUCACUUUACAUUUUACAGGGAAGGCUUUUACUAUUUGUUAACUCACUUGAGGGACAUAAACUGUCAAAAGCCAGCCCUCAGCAUCUGUUUAAUUAUACACCUCCAAUGAGUCUGAAAAUUAUGUAAGUUUGUCUUGGACCCAGGCCCUGUUUGCUGGGAGUUGCUUUCAGCUGAGACUGACCAGUGCAUUAUUGUCAGUCAACAUGGCCGCUGAGACCUGCUGCCCAUUUGUCCAAGGACAGCCAGUGAGAAUAUCCCUGUGUUGGUGUGGCCACAGAAUCAGAGAAAGGUGCUAAGUCCGAUAGACCAGUAAAUGUCUUAUCAUUGGCAGCCUUGCUCAUUCCCAAUGGAUGACAGAAGCAAGUAGGUACGCCAUGCUUUUGCAAAAAUGAGGAAAGGUAGGAAAGAAAGGAGAGAGGAUGAGAAGAAGGGAGGAAGGAAAUAAAAACAUUAUCAGGAUAUUUCUUUGCAACUCCCAUUUCCAUCCUUCUUUUGUUCUAGCUAUUGAAAAGCCAGUGCUUCUACAAGUCACCCUGGGCUAAUGAUAGAGCAAGAAAGAGGUAUUCUGUCAAUGACUCUACUAGAGGUAGGUGAGGGGAGACACAGGAUUUGAUAAUCUGUAGACCCACUUCACAGGUGGGAAAACUCUGCCAAGCUUAUUCCUUCACCUUGGUUAGACCCAAGGCAGACAAGCUCUGUUCCUUUAGUGAGGCUAUCCACUUCUAGCCUUGUGUUCAGGCAAGGAAAGGGUGGGUGUGGGUUCAUAGUUUGGCUUCCACAACCUGAUCCAUCCUGCCCUGUCCUGUCCAGUUGGCUGUGUAUCAGUCAACACUCAGUAGGCAGGAUAGCAUGCGACCACCUAUCGGCAUAGCUCAGUGGCUCUCACUGUAAGCAAUAUGCUAAAAUCCACCUUCUAGAAGAGAGAGGUUUAUAAAAUCAGCUCAUCUAUGUUUUAAAAAUUGUCUUAAAUUUUGCUCUAAAUUUUCUGAUUUUGUAGGUAAUACAGAUAUUCCUGAAAAACAGUAUGUGUGUGUACGUGCACUACUUGUUUAAAGAAAUCUCUUAGAGAAGAAUUGGCAGAAAGGCAGUUUACUGGGAACUUAUCCAGCCACGAUGGGUCUGGGCUAAAGUACAUUGGUUUCAUUCUUCAAGUUCUUCAGGUGUCACAGCACUCAACAAACAAAUAUUUUAAAAUACCUUCUAUGUGUUUAGCAUUGUGCUAAUUAACCUAAACCAAGUUGCUCAUAAUGAUAGGAAGAAUUAAUUAGUCAUGUUAAUAUUAUGUUAUUAUGUGAUCAGUAUAGGAGUAUUUGUGUAACACUAGUUCAGUAUGGGACACAUGCAAACAUAUUAAAAACUAAAAACAUGUUCUAGCUGUGAGUAAUUUUUCUUUUAAUAAUUGAGCUUUCAGAAACAUUUCCACAGAAGUCAUUGUCUCUAUACCAUAAGUUAUUUAAAUUGAAGAAAAGCUAUUUGUCAGCUCAACAGGACCUCAGAAUGCAUUACUCUUUUGCAGGAAAGCCAAGGCUUCCUCUGUUUGGGACUUAAGAGAGCAGAAUGUCAAGGUCUCCAGAGAACCUCAUGCAUGAACCAUUGUUUCAUCCAUCAUUUUUUAAAGCAACUAUUUUAGGUGAUUUCUUAUCUGAGCACGAGGAGGGGCGUCAUUCACAGACCCCUAAGAAGCAAGCACCAGGAGCAAGGAUCCCCCUUUGGCUCUCCCUGGCCAAUUAUCCCAUAUCAUAGCCCCUUUGGUUUCUCUUUACAUAGAUCACAAUUUAAAACUGUUUUAUUUAUGUGUCCAUUUAUUUACUUAGUAACUGCUACCUUCCCCCUCCUCUCUAGCCCUUAGUGAAAGCUCCAGGAAGUCAAGAAUCACACCUCUUUUUCCCUUUUUUAUCUCCAAUGUUUACCUCAGUGUCCAGUCUACAAUAAGAAGUCAAUAAAUAGUUUUGAAUUUUAAAAAUGAUGUCUGUUUUACCAAAGCAAAUCAGUGCCAAGGAAAAGGCAAGGCUGUGCCCAGCCUCACUCAGCAUUUGUCUUCCUCCUUCUGCUGUCUAGCUUAGUGUUGUGGGGGACACAGGUAUUCAUCAGAGAGCAUUUCCACCUUGUCAUGAAACGCUACCUUGUAAUCCAGUAGCUAUCACUGCAGUUAAAGCUGAGAAGCCAAAAGAUUUCAAAUAGGAAAACUCUCCAAAAUGAUAUCAUUAUCAAAUGCAUUUGCUAAACAUGUCUAGUGAGUGGCAUGUUGUUUAUGGUUUGGGAAGAGCCUGAAAAGAGUAACUCUUGCUUGCUAUUAUAAAACAUCACAGCAUUCCCUUUCAGGUGAAGUCUAUGUUAUCCAACCUGCAAAUGACUGGAGCA
This 5941-nucleotide long non-coding RNA is filed under the name Homo sapiens (human). RNAcentral's name for it is "HSALNT0376442". Lineage: Eukaryota; Metazoa; Chordata; Mammalia; Primates; Hominidae. The record is from RNAcentral.